Molecule: ribosomal RNA, 253 nt
Filed under: uncultured bacterium
Lineage: Bacteria
Description: partial 16S ribosomal RNA
Rfam family: Bacterial small subunit ribosomal RNA
Source: RNAcentral
UACGUAGGGGGCAAGCGUUGUUCGGAAUUACUGGGCGUAAAGGGCGCGUAGGCGGCCUGAUAAGUAGGGGGUGAAAUCCUGCGGCUUAACCGCAGGGCUGCCUUCUAAACUGUCAGGCUUGAGCACAGUAGAGGCAGGUGGAAUUCCCGGUGUAGCGGUGGAAUGCGUAGAGAUCGGGAAGAACAUCAGUGGCGAAGGCGGCCUGCUGGGCUGUUGCUGACGCUGAGGCGCGACAGCGUGGGGAGCAAACAGG